ACAGAGGUGCCAAGCGUUAGGCGGAAUCACUGGGCUUAAAGCGCGUGUAGGUGGAUGGUAAGUAUCUUGUGAAAUCCCACGGCUCAACCGUGGAACUGCUGGAUAUACUGCUUGUCUUGAGGCACUUAGGGGCAGCUGGAACAAAUGGUGGAGCGGUGAAAUGCGUAGAUAUCAUUUGGAACGCCAAAGGCGAAAGCAGGCUGCUGGGAGUGAUCUGACGCUGAGGAACGAAAGCCAGGGUAGCGAACGGGA
RNAcentral lists this ribosomal RNA (252 nucleotides) under uncultured prokaryote. Its description in RNAcentral is "partial 16S ribosomal RNA". It matches the Rfam family "Bacterial small subunit ribosomal RNA", at positions 525 to 777 of the family's 1533-position model. The record is from RNAcentral.